AUCAAGAGCACCAGAGAAAGAGAGUGAGAGGAAAGAGUAGCUCUGAAGGUGAAAGCCCAAGAAGGAGUUCUUGAGCUGUGAAGGUGCAUCUUCUUCCUUCUCCAUUUCAGCCAACCUUCUGCCUCCCUGCGAGCUAGCACUCCCCGGGAAGUUGAUCAUUCCGGAGCUUCGCGUGGACGAGUCAUCGAGGCCGGACGCUUGUGCGGCUGCGAAGCAUCCUUGAAGGAACCCCCUUCUAACCCAACUCUACCGAGGACGGUUCCCUCGCAACCGUGCGCCGGGAGGGUUGUCUCUACCGAGAGACGAGUCAACUUUGGCUUUCUCUCCCGGAAAGGGUUCUGAAAGUGAAUCCUAGGUUCUUCGGUAUUAAGCA
This 373-nucleotide long non-coding RNA is filed under the name Phoenix dactylifera (date palm). RNAcentral describes it as "long non-coding RNA (PDAC_LNC013015)". Lineage: Eukaryota; Viridiplantae; Streptophyta; Magnoliopsida; Arecales; Arecaceae. The record is from RNAcentral.